Molecule: non-coding RNA, 88 nt
Organism: Turdus rufiventris (rufous-bellied thrush)
Lineage: Eukaryota; Metazoa; Chordata; Aves; Passeriformes; Turdidae
Source: the annotation of a GenBank genome assembly
CCCCUCCUAGAUUGGUCCAGGUCAAGAUUCCCUCAAAGAAUUCCCGGCCUGGGGGGGGCAGGGGGCGGUUGGGACCCCCUGGAGGGGG